GUGGAGGUAUAGAAAUAUGGUAAUCCCUUGGACGUACCCAUUCCAGCAGUACAAUCCUUGCUCAAGUGGGUCGUAAUUGUGGACAUGCUUUAUGUAUAUAAAUACACAUGCAGCCAUUUAAAAUGAAGAUGUGGUAUUAUUGCCAAAUGAGACAUCUCUCCACAAUAGACAAAAUGACACAGACAUUACCAAUUAUAGACCACAGUACGACCUUCAA
RNAcentral lists this long non-coding RNA (217 nucleotides) under Mytilus galloprovincialis (Mediterranean mussel). Lineage: Eukaryota; Metazoa; Mollusca; Bivalvia; Mytilida; Mytilidae. The record is from RNAcentral.